This 253-nucleotide ribosomal RNA is filed under the name uncultured bacterium. RNAcentral describes it as "partial 16S ribosomal RNA". It matches the Rfam family "Bacterial small subunit ribosomal RNA", at positions 524 to 776 of the family's 1533-position model. The record is from RNAcentral.
UACGUAGGCAGCAAGCGUUGUUCGGAAUUAUUGGGCGUAAAGAGUGUGUAGGCGGCGCUCUAAGUUCGGUGUGAAAUCUCCCGGCUUAACUGGGAGGGUGCGCCGGAAACUGGAGUGCUCGAGCGUGGGAGAGGAAAGCGGAAUUCCUGGUGUAGCGGUGAAAUGCGUAGAUAUCAGGAGGAACACCGGUGGCGAAGGCGGGUCUCUGGGCCGAUACUGACGCUGAGGAGCGAAAGCGUGGGGAGCGAACAGG